RNAcentral lists this non-coding RNA (25 nucleotides) under Rattus norvegicus (Norway rat). Lineage: Eukaryota; Metazoa; Chordata; Mammalia; Rodentia; Muridae. The record is from RNAcentral.
AACCAAAAAGCUUGCCUUGGCUCAG